Molecule: ribosomal RNA, 301 nt
Filed under: uncultured bacterium
Lineage: Bacteria
Description: partial 16S ribosomal RNA
Rfam family: Bacterial small subunit ribosomal RNA
Source: RNAcentral
CAGCCGCCGCGGUAAUACGUAGGGUGCAAGCGUUAAUCGGAAUUACUGGGCGUAAAGCGCACGUAGGCGGCUAUUCAAGUCAGUGGUGAAAGCCCGGAGCUCAACUCCGGAACUGCCAUUGGAACUGUGAAGCUGGAGGACGAGAGAGGUGAGUGGAAUUCCCAGUGUAGAGGUGAAAUUCGUAGAUAUUGGGAAGAACACCGGUGGCGAAGGCGGCUCACUGGCUCGUUUCUGACGCUCAUGCACGACAGCGUGGGGAUCAAACAGGAUUAGAGACCCCAGUAGUCCCUGUCUCUUAUAC